GACAUAGGUGGCAAACGUUAUCCGGAAUUAUUGGGCGUAAAGGAUGCGUAGAUGGUCUAGUAAGUUAUCAGUGGUAAAUCGGGGCCCAACCUCGUGGAAGUUGGUAAUACUGUUAGACUUGAGUAUCGGAGAGGUUAACGGAACUCCCUGUGGAGCGGUGAAAUGUGUAGAUAUAGGGAAGAACACCAAACGGCGAAGGCAGUUAACUAGUCGGCUACUGACAUUGAGGCAUGAAAGCGUGGGGAGCAAAACGG
Molecule: ribosomal RNA, 254 nt
Filed under: uncultured bacterium
Lineage: Bacteria
Description: partial 16S ribosomal RNA
Rfam family: Bacterial small subunit ribosomal RNA
Source: RNAcentral